Molecule: ribosomal RNA, 301 nt
Filed under: uncultured bacterium
Lineage: Bacteria
Description: partial 16S ribosomal RNA
Rfam family: Bacterial small subunit ribosomal RNA
Source: RNAcentral
CAGUAGCCGCGGUAACACGUAGGGCGCAAGCGUUAUCCGGAAUUAUUGGGCGUAAAGAGCUCGUAGGCGGUUUGUCGCGUCUGCCGUGAAAGUCCGGGGCUCAACCCCGGAUCUGCGGUGGGUACGGGCAGACUAGAGUGAUGUAGGGGAGACUGGAAUUCCUGGUGUAGCGGUGAAAUGCGCAGAUAUCAGGAGGAACACCGAUGGCGAAGGCAGGUCUCUGGGCAUUAACUGACGCUGAGGAGCGAAAGCAUGGGGAGCGAACAGGAUUAGAGACCCCGGUAGUCCCUGUCUCUUAUAC